GAACCGGCGAGUUACGAUCCCGUGCGAGGUUAAGCUGAAGAGGCGGAGCCGCAGCGAAAGCGAGUCUGAAUAGGGCGUUUAGUACGUGGUCGUAGACCCGAAACCAGGUGAUCUACCCAUGUCCAGGGUGAAGUUCAGGUAACACUGAAUGGAGGCCCGAACCCACGCACGUUGAAAAGUGCGGGGAUGAGGUGUGGGUAGCGGAGAAAUUCCAAUCGAACCUGGAGAUAGCUGGUUCUCCCCGAAAUAGCUUUAGGGCUAGCCUUAAGUGUAAGAGUCUUGGAGGUAGAGCACUGAUUGGACUAGGGGUCCUCAUCGGAUUACCGAAUUCAGUCAAACUCCGAAUGCCAAUGACUUAUCCUUAGGAGUCAGACUGCGAGUGAUAAGAUCCGUAGUCAAAAGGGAAACAGCCCAGACCGCCAGCUAAGGUCCCAAAGUGUGUAUUAAGUGGAAAAGGAUGUGGAGUUGCUUAGACAACUAGGAUGUUGGCUUAGAAGCAGCCACCAUUUAAAGAGUGCGUAAUAGCUCACUAGUCGAGUGACUCUGCGCCGAAAAUGUACCGGGGCUAAAUACACCACCGAAGCUGCGGAUUGAUACCAAUGGUAUCAGUGGUAGGGGAGCGUUCUAAGGACAGUGAAGUCAGACCGGAAGGACUGGUGGAGUGCUUAGAAGUGAGAAUGCCGGUAUGAGUAGCGAAAGACGGGUGAGAAUCCCGUCCACCGAAUGCCUAAGGUUUCCUGAGGAAGGCUCGUCCGCUCAGGGUUAGUCAGGACCUAAGCCGAGGCCGACAGGCGUAGGCGAUGGACAACAGGUUGAUAUUCCUGUACCACCUCUUUAUCGUUUGAGCAAUGGAGGGACGCAGAAGGAUAGAAGAAGCGUGCGAUUGGUUGUGCACGUCCAAGCAGUUAGGCUGAUAAGUAGGCAAAUCCGCUUAUCGUGAAGGCUGAGCUGUGAUGGGGAAGCUCCUUAUGGAGCGAAGUCUUUGAUUCCCCGCUGCCAAGAAAAGCUUCUAGCGAGAUAAAAGGUGCCUGUACCGCAAACCGACACAGGUAGGCGAGGAGAGAAUCCUAAGGUGUGCGAGAGAACUCUGGUUAAGGAACUCGGCAAAAUGACCCCGUAACUUCGGGAGAAGGGGUGCUUUCUUAACGGAAAGCCGCAGUGAAUAGGCCCAAGCGACUGUUUAGCAAAAACACAGCUCUCUGCGAAGCCGUAAGGCGAAGUAUAGGGGGUGACACCUGCCCGGUGCUGGAAGGUUAAGGAGAGGGGUUAGCGUAAGCGAAGCUCUGAACUGAAGCCCCAGUAAACGGCGGCCGUAACUAUAACGGUCCUAAGGUAGCGAAAUUCCUUGUCGGGUAAGUUCCGACCCGCACGAAAGGUGUAACGAUUUGGGCACUGUCUCAACCAGAGACUCGGUGAAAUUAUAGUACCUGUGAAGAUGCAGGUUACCCGCGACAGGACGGAAAGACCCCGUGGAGCUUUACUGUAGCCUGAUAUUGAAUUUUGGUACAGUUUGUACAGGAUAGGCGGGAGCCUUUGAAACCGGAGCGCUAGCUUCGGUGGAGGCGCUGGUGGGAUACCGCCCUGACUGUAUUGAAAUUCUAACCUACGGGUCUUAUCGACCCGGGAGACAGUGUCAGGUGGGCAGUUUGACUGGGGCGGUCGCCUCCUAAAGUGUAACGGAGGCGCCCAAAGGUUCCCUCAGAAUGGUUGGAAAUCAUUCGUAGAGUGCAAAGGCAUAAGGGAGCUUGACUGCGAGACCUACAAGUCGAGCAGGGACGAAAGUCGGGCUUAGUGAUCCGGUGGUUCCGCAUGGAAGGGCCAUCGCUCAACGGAUAAAAGCUACCCCGGGGAUAACAGGCUUAUCUCCCCCAAGAGUCCACAUCGACGGGGAGGUUUGGCACCUCGAUGUCGGCUCAUCGCAUCCUGGGGCUGUAGUCGGUCCCAAGGGUUGGGCUGUUCGCCCAUUAAAGCGGUACGCGAGCUGGGUUCAGAACGUCGUGAGACAGUUCGGUCCCUAUCCGUCGUGGGCGUAGGAAAUUUGAGAGGAGCUGUCCUUAGUACGAGAGGACCGGGAUGGACGCACCGCUGGUGUACCAGUUGUUCUGCCAAGGGCAUAGCUGGGUAGCUAUGUGCGGAAGGGAUAAGUGCUGAAAGCAUCUAAGCAUGAAGCCCCCCUCAAGAUGAGAUUUCCCAUAGCGUAAGCUAGUAAGAUCCCUGAAAGAUGAUCAGGUUGAUAGGUUCGAGGUGGAAGCAUGGUGACAUGUGGAGCUGACGAAUACUAAUAGAUCG
Molecule: ribosomal RNA, 2289 nt
Filed under: Bacillus cereus
Lineage: Bacteria; Bacillati; Bacillota; Bacilli; Caryophanales; Bacillaceae
Description: partial 23S ribosomal RNA
Rfam family: Bacterial large subunit ribosomal RNA
Source: RNAcentral